GGACCAUGUUUUCCCAAGGAAGCAGGAGCAGCAACACAAAAAUUCUCACCAUAUUUAUGCUAAACUUCAAGAAGAGGAACAACAUAAAAUGUGAGAGCACAUGCUAAAGGAUAGAGAACAUUCAAAAGACAAAAGACCUUCAAUUGGACACCCAGUAACGAGUUGCAAGGAAAAACCUCCAAAGAUGGCAUGAAAGAAAACAUUCCAAGGCUGAGAUUUGACAGCAUAACACAAGAAGGCAAUUGCACUUGACCAACUUGAAACCCCUAUGGACGCCUAGAAAGUUCAGCAACAGAAAGAAGCAAGAGGGGAUGAGUGUUUGCAGCUCUGUCUCGCAGCCAUGGCACUGAGAAGGAACUAAGUGGCAUUCACAUCUCAGCAAUUCUUUGCUAUAUGGUAGAAAACAUGCUGACAUUCAUUGGCACUGAGUCCUAGAAGAUGUAGCUGGCCAAAAGAUUUCAGCCUGAAGGAAACCAUGUGCAACACUUUUGGGAGAACAUACCAGUCAUCACUCAGGAAAAAACUGCUUCUCAGAUGAUAUCACAGUCAGUCUUUAUUGCCUAUUGUUUGGAGAUAAAUAGCUGUUUUUCUCUAAUGAGACAUGAUAAGUGACUUUCAGGGCUUUCCCCAGGAAA
Molecule: non-coding RNA, 635 nt
Organism: Zonotrichia albicollis (white-throated sparrow)
Lineage: Eukaryota; Metazoa; Chordata; Aves; Passeriformes; Passerellidae
Source: RefSeq, a predicted model, not a curated record